Cavia porcellus (domestic guinea pig) is the source of this 2333-nucleotide long non-coding RNA. RefSeq lists it as uncharacterized. The record is from RefSeq and is a predicted model, not a curated record. NCBI's taxonomy places the organism in Eukaryota, Metazoa, Chordata, Mammalia, Rodentia, Caviidae. The transcript is spliced from 4 exons.
AGGUGGGACUUUAUUUCUCAAUGAAAUAGCCUUUUUAUGGCCGGAAUAAAAGUGCCAGGGGGAGCCCCAUGCCAGGAAGUGGCAAGUGCAUUUGACAAACUCCUCCAGCCGGGCUGGGGCCGCACGGGAGGCAGCAGCCCCCCGUUUCCAGAGGCGGACGCGCCUGCAGGUUGGAGCCCUGAAGACCCGGAGGUGGGGCCUCGCCAGCCGAGCCCGGUCGGCAGGUGCCCGGAGCGGAGCCGCAGAGCAGAGCGCGGGCAGCAGGGGGCAGCAGAGCACCCCAGAGACCGUUCCGGCCCCGCGGAGGGCGCCGUGGGGGCGCGGGGGUCUCUGAGGCACCUCGCUCACAGGAAGCCGCAGCGACCCCUUCCCAGGACCUCUUCCCCUCGCUUAGUUCGUCCACUCCAGCCCCUUCACAGCAGGGUCAUCUGCUGACCCAUCCAGGUCACACUGGGGUGCGCCUGGGGUGGGGCCUUCUGCACCCCUUGCCCUCCCUCGGAGGAUUUGCCCAAGCUGCAGCUUUGCUCUGGACCUUGUGCACCCCUCGGCACCCUUCUGAGGCCAUUCGGGCGCUCUCCGUGCGCGCGUGUGGGUGGGGGCCUUGCAGGGUGAGAGGUGGUGGCGUGCGUGGUCACUGGGGGCAGAAGAAAAGCUGAAGGACAAAGGGAACCCGGGGGCCCUCCGGUUUGAGGGUGCACGUGAUUGGCAGGUUUACGGCCUCGGGAAGGUGCGUGGUAGUCUGCACAAUCAAGUGAUUUUUAAAAAUAAUCUCCCUGCUUAAGUCGUACACGCUGCUAAUUGCAUUUUAAUAAGUCUCUUAAAAUCUUGCCAUAUUUUUUAAUAUCCUAAUAUUAGGUAAGUGAUUGCGGGGGACACUGGAGGGCAUGGGGAGUUUAUAUAACAGAGGGAGGUGGCAAUGAAGCCGGGGUGGGGGCAGCCACCGAGAGGCGGACGGGGUGUCUGUGUGACGUGGGGGUGUGAGUGUGUGUCCACGCGGGACUGUGCACAUGCUCACCAACAGGGAGCCGUUUGACACCUCUGGCUGGGUCUGGCAGCUGGGAGGGAGAGAGGCAGGAAGGGCAGGCAUCUCCCCUCUUUCUUUCUCUGGUUCCAAAGUGGACGUCUGAGCCCUGGCACCUCCACCCAGCUUGUCCCUGGGAUUUGACCAAGACCAUGCAGGAAGCGGGCAGCUGAGGGACAGCCCAGCUCCUGGCUCCGGAGCAGAGGAAGAGCCACCUUUCUCCUGCCCCUUCUCCCAGCCCAGGGGCCCUGCGUCCUUGCAGCGGGCCCUGCCAUGCGAGCCUCACGCUGCCCGCUAACAUGGCAGAGGCUUCGCCCUGACUGCAUGUUGGGCAUCUUGCUGGGUGAGUGUUCCGGGACCCUUGGGUGAGAAGGACCCAGGUGGCAGGCCUGGGAUUCGAACCCACAGCCGCUCCUGUGGGUAUCGAGGAAGGCUCUGAGUCACCAUGGCCCGGAAGCUGAACAGAGGCUCCCACACUUCCCUCCAUGCCAACUGUCCAGGGUCGGUGAGGACCACGUAGGAACCUCAGGAAAGGCUGGCAGAGGCGGGGUGAGGACGUCGCAUCGGGUGGCUGUGGACCUGUCCGUGAUCCUGGGCAGGGUCCUAAAGGCAAGGGUCCAUCCUGAAUUGCCCAGAUUGGUCUUGAACAUGUGAUCCUCCUGCCUCAGCCUCCCAAGUAGUAAGGAUGACAGUCUCUGGAAACUCCAUGUAAGGAGCAAUUCUGCAAAGCCAUACCUCCUCCCUCUCCUGAGCAAAACCACAGCAGCCUGCUGGCCAGACUAUGCUGGAAGAGCUUGGCAUAUGCAGAGUCUCCCUUGGGAGGCCUGGGAUGGUGGAGACGAGCUACUCCACCAUUCCCCAUCUAAACCGUGGAUCCAGGCUGUGUCUGAGGGUCCCAGUCAGCCUUCCCGUGGCUGGGCCAAGACUCCUGACACCCGAGAUGCAAAGGCUCCCGGUUUCCAAGGCGUCAGUCCGCGGCCAGCCGACUCCAGGGCACAAACAUCACGGCAGAGGAAAACCGCUCACCCCAAGACAGCCAGGAAGCGGAGAGCGACGUGUUCACCAGAGAGGAGGUGUCAGGGACCAGACCCAGGCCCCGAGUCACAGCCCCACGACACACCCAGACGCGUGCCUUCCUGACCUCCUUACUGACCUCGGCAAUCAAGUUGAGAGUCAAGAUGAAUUGUUUUGGGUUUUUUUGAGACAGGGUCUUACUCUGUAGCUCAGGCUGGCCUUGAACUUGGGAUCUUCCUGCCUCAGCCUCCCACAUGCAGGGAUUACAAGCAGCAAGUAAUAAAAUUGUGGUUUUACA